RNAcentral lists this ribosomal RNA (494 nucleotides) under uncultured bacterium. RNAcentral describes it as "bacterial SSU rRNA". It matches the Rfam family "Bacterial small subunit ribosomal RNA", at positions 28 to 521 of the family's 1533-position model. The record is from RNAcentral.
GAUGAACGCUGGCGGCGUGCCUAACACAUGCAAGUCGAGCGGGAUCUUAAGUAAUGAAGCUUCGGUAGAUUUAGUUAAGUGAGAGCGGCGGACGGGUGAGUAACGCGUAGGCAACCUGCCCUUUGCAGAGGGAUAGCCAUUGGAAACGAUGAUUAAAACCUCAUAAUGCCAAGAGUUCACAUGGACAUUUGGCCAAAGAUUUAUCGGCAAAGGAUGGGCCUGCGUCUGAUUAGCUAGUUGGUGGGGUAACGGCCUACCAAGGCGACGAUCAGUAGCCGACCUGAGAGGGUGAUCGGCCACAUUGGAACUGAGACACGGUCCAAACUCCUACGGGAGGCAGCAGUGGGGAAUAUUGCACAAUGGGCGAAAGCCUGAUGCAGCAACGCCGCGUGAAGGAAGAAGGUCUUCGGAUCGUAAACUUCUAGUCCUUAGGGAAGAUAAAUGACGGUACCUUUGGAGGAAGCCCCGGCUAACUACGUGCCAGCAGCCGCGGU